UUCGAGAUUUGAUUUAGAUGGCUCGUCGAUCAACAAUGCAAUAGAGUGGGCACUUACUGAGUUUGGGUUUUCAAUGAAUGGCUUUGAGUGUUUUAUGGCAAUGUGGGAUUUAUAGGAAGACAAAGAUGUAGAUUGCUGUUAUUACCCUUCUACCCAAAAAAAAAAAAAGAUGUAGAUUGCUGUGUUUGGAUCAAAUUGCGAUCGUUGUGCGAUUGUUGUGGCCUCACUCUGUUUGUUAGCAUUCCGAAUUAGCUUC
Molecule: long non-coding RNA, 256 nt
Filed under: Eucalyptus grandis
Lineage: Eukaryota; Viridiplantae; Streptophyta; Magnoliopsida; Myrtales; Myrtaceae
Description: long non-coding RNA (EGRA_LNC001553)
Source: RNAcentral